AGUGGCGAACGGGUGAGUAACACGUGAGUAACCUGCCCCAGACUCCGGGAUAAGCCUUGGAAACGAGGUCUAAUACUGGAUAUGAGAUGCCCCUGCAUGGGGAGUGUCUGGAAAGAUUUAUCGGUCUGGGAUGGACUCGCGGCCUAUCAGCUUGUUGGUGGGGUAAUGGCCUACCAAGGCGACGACGGGUAGCCGGCCUGAGAGGGCGACCGGCCACACUGGGACUGAGACACGGCCCAGACUCCUACGGGAGGCAGCAGUGGGGAAUAUUGCACAAUGGGCGAAAGCCUGAUGCAGCGACGCCGCGUGAGGGAUGAAGGCCUUCGGGUUGUAAACCUCUUUCAGCAGGGAAGAAGCGCAAGUGACGGUACCUGCAGAAGAAGCGCCGGCUAACUACGUGCCAGCAGCCGCGGUAAUACGUAGGGCGCAAGCGUUGUCCGGAAUUAUUGGGCGUAAAGAGCUCGUAGGCGGUUUGUCGCGUCUGGUGUGAAAACUCAAGGCUCAACCUUGAGCUUGCAUCGGGUACGGGCAGACUAGAGUGCGGUAGGGGU
This 551-nucleotide ribosomal RNA is filed under the name Oerskovia sp. SAUK6219. RNAcentral's name for it is "bacterial SSU rRNA". It matches the Rfam family "Bacterial small subunit ribosomal RNA", at positions 94 to 658 of the family's 1533-position model. The record is from RNAcentral. Lineage: Bacteria; Bacillati; Actinomycetota; Actinomycetes; Micrococcales; Cellulomonadaceae.